This is a long non-coding RNA of Molossus molossus (Pallas's mastiff bat), 949 nucleotides long. RefSeq lists it as uncharacterized. Lineage: Eukaryota; Metazoa; Chordata; Mammalia; Chiroptera; Molossidae. The transcript is spliced from 5 exons. The record is from RefSeq and is a predicted model, not a curated record.
ACCUGACUUGACCUCAGGCGCUGGGACGGUGCCCUCCGCGCGCCCGUCACUUGUUUGCACGAUGACGUUGCAUUCUCACAGCCUGCCCCUGGGAGGGGUGCCGUCGCCCCACUUUCAUCCUGAGGGCAGCAACCCUGGGAAGCCAAGUGGGAUCACCCCCAUUCUGCAGAUGAAGAAACUGAGGCCCACAAGUCAUUUGCCCACUGAGCCACACCAGCCGGACUGAGAUUUUCGAACAACCAGAGGAAACGGCAGAUGCAAAGGUCCUGAGGCCAGAAGGAGCUUGUGAGCAAGGAGCAGAAAACGGAGCAUGCCCAGGGCCUGUCACCGUGGAAACGUGGUACUCGGGCCACCUCUACCUACCGUCCAUACCAUACUGCACAUCAAACAGCCGACCCAGCCUGUGACCGGGUGGUGCCCAAAGGAUCGACACUCAACCACUGAGCCACACCGGCCGGGCAAGACUGCCUUCUCUUUAAAGGAUGAAUCAUAUCUCAUUGUGUGGAUGGGCCGUAUCUUCUUCACGCACUAAUCCAUUGAUGGAAACUGGACUUCUGCCUUUUGGCAGUUGGGAAGAAUGUGCUAUGAACAUAGACGCCACCAAGCAUCUCCUCGGAAAUCGCUGCCCCGAAGGAAAUGUUCUGUCCAGGCCCCUCUGCAGCAGCCGGACACAGCGCCCAGGCGCAGGGAGGCAGGCCGGGGGAGGGGGAUGCAGAAUGCCGCCCACCUGUGUCCUCUCAGGCACGUCUCAGCACCUCUCCGAGCCUCCGCUUCUGACUUAUAGAGUGGACAUGCUAAUUCCUGCUUGUUGUCUCUCAGGACUGAUGUGAGCCCAGAUUAAUAUCCCUUUAUAAUAAAGACUACAGUCCGGCCUGUGUGGCUCAGUGGUUGAGUGUCGACCCUGCACCAAGAGGUCGCUGGUUCGAUUCCCGGUCAGGGCACAGGCCCA